RNAcentral lists this unclassified non-coding RNA (337 nucleotides) under soil metagenome. RNAcentral's name for it is "partial contains 5.8S ribosomal RNA, internal transcribed spacer 2, and large subunit ribosomal RNA". The stretch from base 1 to 120 matches the Rfam family "5.8S ribosomal RNA", at positions 35 to 154 of the family's 154-position model. The record is from RNAcentral.
GAUGAAGAACGCAGCGAAAUGCGAUAAGUAGUGUGAAUUGCAGAAUUCAGUGAAUCAUCGAAUCUUUGAACGCACAUUGCGCCCCUUGGUAUUCCAUGGGGCAUGCCUGUUCGAGCGUCAUUUGUACCCUCCAGCCCUGCUGGGUAUUGGGCGUUUUGUUCCGCUACGCGCAUGAACUCGCCUCAAAUGCAUUGGCAGCCCGCCGUCCCGUGUGGGAGCGCAGCACAUUUUGCGCUCUCCGCUGCUGACGGUGGCAUCCACAAGUCUACCAUUUUACGCUUGACCUCGGAUCAGGUAGGGAUACCCGCUGAACUUAAGCAUAUCAAUAAGCGGAGGA